Molecule: long non-coding RNA, 1855 nt
Organism: Carya illinoinensis
Lineage: Eukaryota; Viridiplantae; Streptophyta; Magnoliopsida; Fagales; Juglandaceae
Exons: 6
Source: RefSeq, a predicted model, not a curated record
AGGCAAAUAAAAAUUGCAGAAAGGAUAUCCUAGGAUUGCAAGUUCAUGGUUCUGCUGAUAUCACAUUUCCGUGUAGAAAAAUUCUAUUCACAAUCCUUUUAAUCUCUUUCUUCUGAUCAUUCUCUUGCGUGGUAUCAAAUACGAUGCAAGGAUGAAGGCAAAAAAAAAAAAAAAAAAAAAAGAUAAGUAACACUUCUCUAUUACAUAAUUCAAAUUGCAGUUGUGGUAAUUGAUAUGUCACUAUUCCUUGAAAAAUAGGUUCUGGAAGUAGCUCCGACAAAAAUUAGAAACAGUAGCUCUUGUUGUUGGUGCUUCACCGGGACAUAAAGGCAUAACUGUGGACAAAUCGGUGGAGUUCUCAUUUGAAGAGCUUGCAAAGUCUACAAAUGACUUCAGUCUGGAUAAUAAGAUUGGGCAAGGUGGCUUUGGAUCGGUUUUCUAUGCAAAACUAAGAGGAGAGAAAGCUGCAAUUAAGAAGAUGGAUAUGCAAGCAUCAAACGAAUUUCUUGCUGAACUCAAGGUUUUAACACAUGUCCAUCACUUGAACCUGUUCGAUUGAUAGGAUAUUGUGUUGAAGGCUCCUUAUUUCUAGUUUACGAGUACAUUGAGAAUGGCAACUUAAGUCAACAUCUGCGUGGCUAAGGUGAGAAGGAUAAUAUUUUUCAGGGAGGGAACCAUUGCCAUGGUCAACUAGAGUUCAAAUUACAUUGGAUUCAGCCAGAGGACUUCAAUAUAUCCUUGAGCAUACUAUUCCAGUUUACAUCCAGUACCGUGAUAUUAAAGCAGCAAAUAUAUUAAUAGACAAGAACUUCCGUGCAAAGAUUUUGGGCUAACAAAACUCGCUGAAUAUGGAAGUGCUUCUUUGCACACACGUCUUGUGGGUACAUUUGGAUACAUGCCUCCAGAAUAUGCUCAAUAUGGUGAUGUUUCCCCCAAGAUAGACGUAUAUGCUUUUGGAGUUGUGCUCUAUGAACUAAUAUCUGCCAAAAAAGCUAUUGUCAGGACAAACGAAUAGGUUCCUGAAGCAACAGGACUUGUUGCCUUGGUUGCUUUCCACUCCCUCCCCUUACUUUCUAGUUGUGAUAUACCUUGGAAAAUCUUUCUUAAUUUUUAUUUGAGAAUUUACCCAAGUUGGUAAUGCAGUUCGAAGAUGUUCUUAGCCGGCCAGAUCCAAAAGAAGAUCUUCAUAAACUUGUGGAUCCUAGGCUUGGUGAUAAUUAUCCACUAGACUCUGUCAGUAAGGUGAUCCAUCUAAUUCAAUAAAUAUAUAUACAUGGGGACUGGUAAUCUUUUGUCCUCUUAAAGUCAUCUGUGGCUGAUUUUGUUGCGGAUGGCUCAGCUUGCCAAAGUUUGCACACAAGAAAAUCCACAACUAAGACCAAGCAUGAGAUCUAUCGUAGUUGCGCUAAUGACACUUUCAUCUUCCACUUAGGACUGGGUAUUGGUUCUUUCUAUGAAAAUCAAGCUCUGGUCCAUCUGAUGCAGGAAGGUAGCUCAUGAAGAAGCCAGCAAUGUCUUGAAAAAUGACCUCAUUAAGACAAAGAGACAAAGCUUAAAUCUUUGUUUUCUGAUGUCUAUAGAUCUGUAAAAUGCAAAUAUCAAAAACCAAGUUCGGUAGAGAAUUUUAGAGAAGGUGGGGGAUUGGUUUAUGAAAUUGUUUCAAUUUCUCUAGAUUUUUGUUGUGCUACGUAACAUUCAUCCUUAGCCUUUUGCCCUCGUGAAUAUAUGUUUUUCUCUACAUAUUUAUUCAAGGGAAAAUGAUGUUGUGCAGCUCGGGCAGUACUGCUUAAGUGUAUUACUUGGGAAAAAAAUAUUCUUUUUUUACUUAAUGAUUAAAAAAGUAAUUUUAAGUGUA